GACCCCGCACAAGCGGUGGAUCAUGUUGUUUAAUUCGUCGAUACGCGAAGAACCUUACCAGGCCUUGACAUACCCUGCAAUACCUAUUGAAAGAUAGGUGGAGGUUAUCAGGAGUACAGGUGGUGCACGGUUGUCGUCAGCUCGUGUCGUGAGAUGUUAGGUUAAGUCCUCUAACGAGCGCAACCCUCAUCGCUAGUUACCAUCAUUCAGUUGGGCACUCUAGUGAAACAACCAAGUGUAAACUUGGGGAAGUUGGGAUGACGUCAAAUCAUCAUGCCCCUUACGGUCUGGGCUACAAACGUGAUACAAUGGCUGUAACAAAGAGUCGCUACCCUGCGAAGGCAAGCUAAUCUCUAAAAAGCAGUCUAAGUUCGGAUUGAAGUCUGCAACUCGACUUCAUGAAGCCGGAAUCGCUAGUAAUCGCAAAUCAGAAUGUUG
This 438-nucleotide ribosomal RNA is filed under the name uncultured Mycoplasmatota bacterium. RNAcentral describes it as "bacterial SSU rRNA". It matches the Rfam family "Bacterial small subunit ribosomal RNA", at positions 920 to 1359 of the family's 1533-position model. Lineage: Bacteria; Bacillati; Mycoplasmatota. The record is from RNAcentral.